UAAAAAAGUGGGGCACCCUUUCAGAUAAAAACAUGGACCUGAUUGGCAUCAUCCGGUAUCCAUGGAAACGUUUGAAGUACCUCUCUCUCAAUAUGUACUUCUCUUAUUCAGGGUUUAAAAGCUGAGUACCGAAUAAAGAAAGAAGCGUAAGGUUGAACUACAUUUAUUUUCAAAACCAUCAUUCUGAAGAAGAUCCUUUGCAGGUUUUGUCAGGAGCUGGGGAAAAAAGCAAGAGGCAGCACUGGGGUACGUGCAUCUGGAUCCGUAGCGUCGCGCUGACGGAGCCUGCAGCCUGUGGGAGCUCAGUUUGUACAGACAGAUGUGUCUGCUGCUGUCUGCUCCGUAUCUGCUCGGUCUCCAUUUCUAGUUCAAAAAGGUGAAUACAUAGGUUGUUCUUUCUCUCUUUACUUCCUUUUCCUGCUCCUUGGAAUGAUAGAGGGAACUAAGCUCACCUUGACUUCCUUUCUUUGUCCCACCCUCCCAGCUCUUAGUGUGGCAGUAAGCAUUGUCCAGCCUUCCAACUUGUAGACAGAAAAAUUUCUAGUAGUAUUCGCACAUUCUGAAGAGCAGAGUUUUGCAGUAGCCACUUGUAUGUACAAAAAUGUAAUUCUAAUCUUCUGUUGUUUUUUUGGCAUUAAUGCACCAUAUUCACUGAGACUGAGACAAAACUGCUGCCUCUAAGAGCCACUGAUUUGGACAAUUAUCCAAAAUCAGAUUAUAAUAAAUGGCAGUCUUAGGAAUUUUGAUUAACCUCU
Molecule: long non-coding RNA, 755 nt
Filed under: Calidris pugnax (ruff)
Lineage: Eukaryota; Metazoa; Chordata; Aves; Charadriiformes; Scolopacidae
Description: lncRNA (ENSCPUG00000018921.1)
Source: RNAcentral